Long non-coding RNA from Strigops habroptila (Kakapo), 940 nucleotides. RefSeq lists it as uncharacterized. The transcript has 3 exons. The record is from RefSeq and is a predicted model, not a curated record. Lineage: Eukaryota; Metazoa; Chordata; Aves; Psittaciformes; Psittacidae.
CCUGAGUGAUAAUUAAACAUCAAGUCACUAGUGGUGAAAGGAAGCUGCUGGUAUCCUAACAACUUAAGCUAAUGCUGUAAUCAAGUUACUUUCAUGGCUCCUUUCUUUCAUUAGAGUAGAAAUGGUGGCCACAGAGAGCACUUAAUCCUUUCGCGUGCCUCUCCAUGAACUAAGAAGGUGGUCCUUGCUUAAAACAGAUAGACAAUCAUCAGACCACUGAGGCAGCCACCUGUAGCUUCAUUCACACUGGUGCUCAGCGUUUGCAGGAUCAGGGCCAGUAUUUAUAACUGCAAUCUACUGCAUAGCACUUUUUUGGGUUCUUGAUUCUUAACAGGUGCUCUGCAGACUGUGAAAGCAAUUGAAAGUAUUAUGGUUAGACACAUCAUGGAGAUUAACUUGUUAAAUGAUCAAUUCUGGCCUCAUGCUGGAAAUCUAAGCCAAUCGUCUGAAUGAAAUGUGUAAAUUCCUGUAUAAGAGAGAUUUAUCUCUUUCCAGACUUUUCAGUGCUCUGCACAAGCUGAAAGCAAGCAAGUGUAUAAUCUUUUCUGGGGGUGAUGCUAUAUAUUUGCUUCCACUAGGAAUAAUUUCCUAGGAUGUGGUGUCCAGCUGUGUGCAUGCAAUGGAUGUCCGCAGAAAGUCAAUGCAGGUACUUUGGUUUUGGCUCUGACUCCAGUGAAGUAUUUCUAAGCAUGCUUAACGCCAGGCACAUGACUACUCCAGUUAACAUUUGCAAGGCUUUCUACAGGCUUAAAGAUUUUUGCUGGUACAUGAACUCAGUGAACUAAUGUCCUAUUGCAUUUUAAUUUCAUCACUCUGACUCUCUGACUUCAAAGCCUGCUCGAAGUCUAGAGGAAAGUUCACAAUCCGCUUGAUUUGGCUACAGAAAAGCGGGUUUGUUGUUUGUGGUGCCAAAACAGGGAGAGCUCUUGAAAUAGAUCAG